RNAcentral lists this long non-coding RNA (408 nucleotides) under Elaeis guineensis (African oil palm). Its description in RNAcentral is "long non-coding RNA (EGUI_LNC023124)". Lineage: Eukaryota; Viridiplantae; Streptophyta; Magnoliopsida; Arecales; Arecaceae. The record is from RNAcentral.
AUGCCAUCAAGAGGAAGAGAAAAAGAGAAGAUGCCCAUCGACAGUCCAACAUCGGAAAAGAGAAGAAGAGGAGAAAGGGAGAAACCAUAUAUCUAUCUCUGGGCUACAAGAAGUUAAAAGAAGAAACAGGAAGGAAACAACCUUGAGAGGAGAAGAUGGCCGAUAGCAUCGAAGCACUGGAAAAGAAGAUAGAAAGACUUUCGGAUGGGGGGGGGGAGCUUAACUACUAAGGGGGUUAAUCAACACAAGAGAGAAAAGAGAGGAGGAAGAAACAAUCUGGUCUCUAGGUACAACACCAAGAUAUACAAUGAAAUCUAGCAGUCGAGGAAGAUAGAAUGGCAGCGAUGAUGCCAAUAGUGCUGGAAAAGGAGAGAGAGAGAAAUAAGGAGGAGGCAUCCGAUAGCUGGA